GAUGAACGCUGGCGGCGUGCCUAAUACAUGCAAGUCGAACGACAGCACUGUAAGAUCGUGCUCUUGCGGUUAGCGAUUGACGGAUGAGUGACGAAUGGAUCAGCAACUACUUUGUCUUGGGUGAUAACGUGGGGCAGCAUACGCUAAUACAUCAUAUGAUCUACCGUAUCAAUCAACAGAGCAUGGUAACUUUGUCGAUUGUAUUAGCCGAAUCCGCGUUGCAUUAGCUAGUUGGUAAGGUAACGGCUUACCAAGGCAACGAUGCGUAGCUGAACUGAGAGGGUGAUCGGCCACACUGGAACUGAGACACGGUCCAGACUCCUACGGGAGGCAGCAGUAGGGAAUAUUGCACAAUGGGCGAAAGCCUGAUGGAGCAACGCCGCGUGGGUGAAGAAGGUCUUCGGAUCGUAAAGCCCUUUUGUUAGGGAAGAAAAGAAGUGGGAGUAACUCUGCACGUUUUGACGGUACCUAAACAGAAAGCCACGGCUAACUACGUG
Molecule: ribosomal RNA, 497 nt
Filed under: uncultured bacterium
Lineage: Bacteria
Description: partial 16S ribosomal RNA
Rfam family: Bacterial small subunit ribosomal RNA
Source: RNAcentral